RNAcentral lists this ribosomal RNA (440 nucleotides) under uncultured bacterium. RNAcentral's name for it is "partial 16S ribosomal RNA". It matches the Rfam family "Bacterial small subunit ribosomal RNA", at positions 338 to 795 of the family's 1533-position model. The record is from RNAcentral.
CCUACGGGUGGCAGCAGUGGGGAAUAUUGCACAAUGGGGGAAACCCUGAUGCAGCGACGCCGCGUGAGUGAAGAAGUCAUUCGUUAUGUAAAGCUCUAUCAGCAGGGAAGAAAAUGACGGUACCUGAGUAAGAUGCUCUGGCUAACUACGUGCCAGCAGCCGUGGUAAUACGUAGGGGGCAAGCGUUAUCCGGAUUUACUGGGUGUUAAGGGAGCGUAGACGGGAGUGCAAGUCAAGGGUGAAAUCCUCGCGCUAAACAUGGGAACUGCCUUUGAAACUGGCAAACUGGAGUGUGUGAGAGGAUAGUGGAAUUCCAGGUGUAGGAGUGAAAUCCGUAGAUAUCUGGAGGAACAUCAGUGGCGAAGGUGACUAUCUGGCACAUAACUGACGCUGAGGAGCGAAAGCGUGGGUAGCAAACAGGAUUAGAUACCCGAGUAGUC